AGAGUUUGAUCCUGGCUCAGGACGAACGCUGGCGGCGUGCAUAAUGCAUGCAAGUCGAACGCAGCAGCUUCGGCUGGCUGCGUGGCGAACGGCUGAGGAACACGUGGGUAACUGCCCCGGAGUGGGGGAUACCCCGUCGAAAGACGGGAUAAUCCCGCAUACGCUCUACGGAGGAAAGCCCCUACGGGCGCUCCGGGAGGGGCCUGCGGCCCAUCAGGUCGUUGGUGUGGUAACGGCGCACCAAGCCGCUGACGGGUACCCGGUCUGAGAGGACGACCGGGCAGACUGGGACUGCGACACGGCCCAGACUCCUACGGGAGGCAGCAGCAAGGAAUUUUCCCCAAUGGGCGCAAGCCUGAGGGAGCAACGCCGCGUGGAGGACGACGGCCUUCGGGUUGUAAACUCCUUUCGGGUGGGACGACUACGACGGUACCACCAGAAGCAGCCCCGGCUAACUCUGUGCCAGCAGCCGCGGUAAGACAGAGGGGGCAAGCGUUGUCCGGAGUUACUGGGCGUAAAGGGCGCGGAGGCGGCCUGCGGCGUCGGCGCUGAAAGCGCCCCGCUUAACGGGGCGAGGCGUGCCGAUACGCGCAGGCUCGAGGCGAGCAGAGGGUGGUGGAAUUCCGGGUGGAGCGGUGAAAUGCGUAGAGAUCCGGAGGAACGCCAGUGGGGAAGCCGGCCACCUGGGCUCGGCCUGACGCUGCGGCGCGACAGCGUGGGGAGCAAACCGGAUUAGAUACCCGGGAAGUCCACGCCGUAAACGAUGCCAGCUCGGCGUGUGGCGCACGAUGGUGCGCUGCGUGCCUUAGCUCACGCGAUAAGCUGGCCGCCUGGGACUACGAGCGCAAGCUGAGUCUGUCCAAAAC
RNAcentral lists this ribosomal RNA (866 nucleotides) under uncultured bacterium. RNAcentral's name for it is "bacterial SSU rRNA". It matches the Rfam family "Bacterial small subunit ribosomal RNA", at positions 8 to 907 of the family's 1533-position model. The record is from RNAcentral.